RNAcentral lists this long non-coding RNA (1764 nucleotides) under Salvia miltiorrhiza (redroot sage). Its description in RNAcentral is "long non-coding RNA (SMIL_LNC008077)". The record is from RNAcentral. Lineage: Eukaryota; Viridiplantae; Streptophyta; Magnoliopsida; Lamiales; Lamiaceae.
GUAAAGCUCCCUUAACCACAAUUUCAGUCUUGCACCCUACGAAUUUCAGUCUAUUUAAACCCCAAUUCAUCAUCCCCAAUUCGCUUUUUCCUCAUCUGUUUUCUUACAUCAUAUAGUCCAUUUCCAUCUCUCACUACAGAAUCCAAGCUGGUAAUUUUAAUAACUUUUGCAAAGUUAUUUCAUUUACUGUUUUCAUUUCUGCACAAAACCAAACUCCCACAAAAAUUCUUAUUUCUUUCAAAUUCAAACAUGCAUACACAGUAUUAAACUUAUUAGAAUGCAUAUUCACUGCUUUUACAAAAGAAAAUGGAAGAAUUAAAAGAAUAAUAGUAAGGGAUUAGAAGAAAAGAAAAGAAAGGAGUAGAAGAAUUGUUGGUGAAGAUUGUUGUUGCCGGAGAGGUGAAAGGGGGGAGGCAGCCUGACCGGCUGCUGCUGUCUGUCGAGGGGCGGCAAGGGCCGCUGCUGUCGGCCAAAGGAGAGAGAGAGGCAGGGGCAGUGGUGGCGCCAGAUCUGGAAAGGGAGGUCGGAGCGGCCGUAGCUGGGCGCGGUGAGGAGAGAUGAGGGAGAAGGGCGAGAAGUGAGGGAGAGUGAGAGGGAGACAAGAGCUGAGGGAAGACAGAGAGAGGUCGAAGGGAAGGAGAGAGGAGGCGGAGCCGCUGGCCUCCGGCGGCGGCGUGCCGUCUGGUGGCGGCGGCAGGAGAGGGAGGAGGGCUGAAAGGGAGCGAGGCUGCGUGAGUUUGUGUGUUGGGUGUGAGUCAAAAUGAGGUUUUAAAUUAAGGUGUAGAAUAAUGGGCUUAGGGCCCCUUAGUAGAUGAGUGUGGGAAUGGGUUUAAAGAGGGGCUUAAUUUUAUUAAAUGAUUGGGCUCUUUUUAAUUAUCAAAUGGACUUGCUUUUGCAUAUCAUUUUAUAUAGGACAUCAUUCAUAUUAUAUUUGGAUUUGUAUUAUUAAUUUAAAUUUAGUUUUAAUUAAAUAUUGAGCCCAAAUAUUUUUAUAAGAAAAACUCUUUUAUAAUCUAUUAGACAAAUGAUUUCAAAUGGUUUUAUGAUUUAAACUACUAUUAUUAUUAUUAUUAUUAUUAUUUUAAAGUACAUUUAGGCCCUUAUGUUUAUUAUUUGAAUUUAUCUGAUUAGGUGCGGCGCGACUAGGACGUUACUUUUAAUUGAAUUACUCAAGUUAGCAUUCAAGUUGAAGUUCAAGUUCAAAAUUCAGGUGUGGGAUUUAUUUCAGUACAUGCUGUGGUUAAUCUUUGUCCAUUUUAAUAUUAUGUGUUUACCAUAUGUGAGUUGCAUUAAAUUAUAUCGCUAGAGGCCCGCUCAAUGGGUCCAGGACUUCACCGUCCUUGGUAUGCCACAAUGCGAUUUCAUGUUAAAGUUAUGGUUGCAACCAGUCGCCAGGGGCCGGCUCAAUCGGUCCAGGACGGAAAGGUCCUUGGUAUGCCACCGUGCGACUUUCAGUUACGAAUGUAUUGAUCAUAUGUGAUUCUCAUUUUAUUAACGUGGACAAUGAUUGCAUGUUCCCACACUGAGUGUACCCUGUAUGCUAAUCUCAUACUUAACAUUUUCAGGUUUUAAAGGUCGGAGACGCGUGGAAGGUCGAAUGGCGAGUCAAAUAUUUUAUAUUUAGUUUUACGUAAAAAUGUUAUGUUGAGUAAAAUAUUUUAAAUAAAAUGUUUGUUUUCUUAUUUUCACAUUAAAUAUUUAUUUAUAUUCAUAGUUUUUCCGCGUGCGUUUUCAUUUAAAAUUAAAAUGGAUUUGGGUGUCACA